This is a long non-coding RNA of Pollicipes pollicipes, 1150 nucleotides long. RefSeq lists it as uncharacterized. The record is from RefSeq and is a predicted model, not a curated record. Lineage: Eukaryota; Metazoa; Arthropoda; Thecostraca; Pollicipedomorpha; Pollicipedidae. The transcript has 3 exons.
UCCGUGCUUGUAUUAGCAAAAUCGGGGCGGAGUUCGGAGAUGAUCCUUGCCGUAUUUUUUCAGGCUCAUAGCCUGUAAUGUAUGUUUUUUUGUGUGCUUCCUACUGCCCAUGCAUGUAUUAUGACCAUGUUUGUUUCAUUGCAGAGCUCGGUGAAAGGCUUGCAGUUGGGUGGUUUGAACAUCGUGUCUCUCACAGACGCGACCCCGGUGACGUGGAACUGCUACAGACCCCGCAAGGCAAGACGAUUGUGAAAGGUUAGGUGCGUUGGGUGACCCCCUUCAGUGAUGAAGCAAGAGAAAAUAAGGUGUAUGAAGUGUUUUCAUUGUGAAUACAUUGUAAAAUUAAUCACGUUAUUUUUUUAGGGAAGUUUGAAUGCAGACUGGUGUUUGGAACGAUGGCUGGUGACCAACACACACUUCGGUACAUGUGCCACAUGCCUCCAGUCCUUGUGCGUCUCUUGGUGCCAGCUGAACUGGGGAACCCGAACGUUGGGCGGAGGUGACGUCAUAACUCGCAAAGCAUUCUGGGCCAGGGCUGUUGGCGAGGGAAAAUGGCGGCCGGUGACUUGACGUGGUGUGUUUGCCGCACGCAUAGUUGUAGACAAUUUGCGUGGUGAAGGCCUGUGGGCCGCGUGGUGUAUGGUGACAAUUGUAGGUUGUUUCGCUGGAUUUUAUUGUGUAAGGUUUGGUGCGAUCGUAGGAAGAGAAACAGAAGACUUUCACGGUGGAAAGGUCGUCGCCAUAUUGGAACUCUGGUUGGUGGCUAUCUGCAAGACCCUGAUAUCCGGUACUUCAGUUAGGGCACAGGGGGUGUGCAAAUGUUAUUGAGAAACAUUUUGUAAACGUGUAUUUUACAAGAACAAGCUCUGCUGAAUCCUGCUUCAGCUGAUUGUGGUCAUCCAGCAUACUCUGAAACUUUAGAUGCCAAUGGAGGGCGACAGCGACUCCGACUCUGACAAGUCGACCAAGUCCGACAGCAACAAGUCGACCAAGUCCGACAGCAACAAGUCGACCAAGUCCGACAGCAGCAAAUCCAAAUCCGACAGCAACAAAUCGACCAAGUCCGACAGCGGCCAGUCGUCAUCCUCCUCGAGUGCCAGUGACUCCGGCGAGGCCAGCAGCGGCAGCGGCGAUGAGGCGCCGGCGGCCG